UGGGGAAUAUUGCACAAUGGGCGCAAGCCUGAUGCAGCCAUGCCGCGUGUGUGAAGAAGGCCUCGGUUGUAAAGCACUUCAGCGAGGAGGAAGGUGGUGAGCUUAAUACGCUCAUCAAUUGACGUUACUCGCAGAAGAAGCACCGGCUAGCUCCGUGCCAGCAGCCGCGGUAAUACGGAGGGUGCAAGCGUUAAUCGGAAUACUGGGCGUAAAGCGCACGCAGGCGGUUUGUUAAGUCAGAUGUGAAAUCCCCGGGCUCAACCUGGGAACUGCAUUUGAAACUGGCAAGCUAGAGUCUCGUAGAGGGGGGUAGAAUUCCAGGUGUAGCGGUGAAAUGCGUAGAGAUCUGGAGGAAUACCGGUGGCGAAGGCGGCCCCCUGGACGAAGACUGACGCUCAGGUGCGAAAGCGUGGGGAGCAAAACAGGAUUAGAUACCCUGGUAGUCCACGCUGUAAAACGAUGUCGAUUUUGGAGGUUGUGCCCCUUGAGGCGUGGCUUCCGGAGCUAACGCGUUAAAUCGACCGCCUGGGGAGUACGGCCGCAAGGUUAAAAC
RNAcentral lists this ribosomal RNA (553 nucleotides) under uncultured bacterium. Its description in RNAcentral is "partial 16S ribosomal RNA". It matches the Rfam family "Bacterial small subunit ribosomal RNA", at positions 355 to 900 of the family's 1533-position model. The record is from RNAcentral.